UAUAUCGGUGUUUGCUGGGAUAUAUCUUAUAAAAUAUUCAUUUUUUGGUCUUACCUUAUAGAGGAAUCAGAUAAGAUUAGCUGGUGUGCCUUGCAGUAGCUCACUCCUCUCCCAGAUAAACAGCAUUAGAAGAUCCUUUCACUUGCUGAUAAUACUCAUGUCAUAUGAGGAUGCAUCUGUUAAUGUUUAUGCAAGCAUUUUCAAUUUUAAAAUGUUAUGCAGACAAUCUGCUGAUAUACGUCUAUCUGGGCUAAUAAACAUAGAUAUAUGUGAUAAUAUGUGGAUAUUCAUUAGAUUAAAAGAGUUAUCAUGGAUUUUUAUAGCUCUUUGAUAGACAUGGAUGUACAAUGGAUAUGGAUAUCCAAUAAUGGAUAUGGAUAUCCUUGAUAGAUUUUCACUGGAUAUGAACAUGUGGACAUUCAUUGGAUAUUCUUAAUAGAUUUUCGGUGGAUAUAAAUAUUUGAAUAUUAUGUGGAUAUCCUUAGUAAAGAAGUGGACAU
Molecule: non-coding RNA, 500 nt
Organism: Nylanderia fulva
Lineage: Eukaryota; Metazoa; Arthropoda; Insecta; Hymenoptera; Formicidae
Source: RefSeq, a predicted model, not a curated record